Long non-coding RNA from Telopea speciosissima, 390 nucleotides. RefSeq lists it as uncharacterized. The record is from RefSeq and is a predicted model, not a curated record. The transcript is spliced from 2 exons. Lineage: Eukaryota; Viridiplantae; Streptophyta; Magnoliopsida; Proteales; Proteaceae.
GUUUCUCGCUUCUCUUCCUGCCCCCGUGGUUUCGGAAGACGAACAGCAAGAAGCAGUGCAGUUGCAGAAAGAGAAAGAUGAUCUACAGAAAGUGGAGUCUCCUUACUGGUCCGCCUGCUAUAGUGGGCUCUAUCGUGGCAACGGUGGUGGUGGCGAAUUUCCUCUUCGUAAAAAAUGAUCCAUUUCUUAAACCAGAGGAAAGGAAGCAACAGACAUCACCAUUGAUGAAAUAGACUUGGAUUGCAGAGGCAAUGAUGCCUAAGAUGUUCUUUAGUUUUGUCUGCUUCUGUGUGGGUUUUGUGUUCUCGCAUGUGGAUUUCCUCACUGUUUAAACAGCAUUUUGGAAAAUGAAAUUUUAGUUGAAUAAAAUUGAGAUUUGGAGUCCAAGUU